RNAcentral lists this ribosomal RNA (433 nucleotides) under uncultured bacterium. RNAcentral's name for it is "partial 16S ribosomal RNA". It matches the Rfam family "Bacterial small subunit ribosomal RNA", at positions 29 to 507 of the family's 1533-position model. The record is from RNAcentral.
AACGAACGCUGGCGGCAUGCCUAACACAUGCAAGUCGAACGAGACCUUCGGGUCUAGUGGCGCACGGGUGCGUAACGCGUGGGAACCUGCCCUUAGGUUCGGAAUAACUCCCCGAAAGGGGUGCUAAUACCGGAUAAUGUCUUCGGACCAAAGAUUUAUCGCCUUUGGAUGGGCCCGCGUUGGAUUAGCUAGUUGGUAGGGUAAAAGCCUACCAAGGCGACGAUCCAUAGCUGGUCUGAGAGGAUGAUCAGCCACACUGGGACUGAGACACGGCCCAGACUCCUACGGGAGGCAGCAGUGGGGAAUAUUGGCCAAUGGGCGAAGGCCUGAUGCAGCAAUGCCGCGUGAGUGAUGAAGGCCUUAGGGUUGUAAAGCUCUUUUACCCGGGAUGAUAAUGACAGUACCGGGAGAAUAAGCUCCGGCUAACUCCGUG